Molecule: ribosomal RNA, 253 nt
Filed under: uncultured bacterium
Lineage: Bacteria
Description: partial 16S ribosomal RNA
Rfam family: Bacterial small subunit ribosomal RNA
Source: RNAcentral
UACAGAGGGGGCUAGCGUUGUUCGGAAUUACUGGGCGUAAAGGGCGCGUAGGUGGCCUGUUAAGUCGAACGUGAAAUCCCCGGGCUCAACCCGGGAACUGCGUCCGAGACUGGCAGGCUCGAAUCCGGGAGAGGGAUGCGGAAUUGCCGGUGUAGUGGUGAAAUGCGUAGAGAUCGGCAGGAACACCCGUGGCGAAAGCGGCUUCCUGGCUCAGUCCUGACACUCAGAUGCGAAAGCUAGGGGAGCGAACGGG